Molecule: ribosomal RNA, 346 nt
Filed under: uncultured bacterium
Lineage: Bacteria
Description: partial 16S ribosomal RNA
Rfam family: Bacterial small subunit ribosomal RNA
Source: RNAcentral
CCUACGGGAGGCAGCAGGGGGGAAUAUUGCGCAAUGGGCGAAAGCCGGACGCAGCGACGCCGCGUGAGGGAUGAAGGUCUUCGGAUCGUAAACCUCGGGCAGCAGGGAAGAACGGUCACGGUGCUAAGCAGCAGUGAAUUGACGGUACCUGCAAAGGAAGCACCGGCUAACUCCGUGCCAGCAGCCGCGGUAAUACGGAGGGGGCGAGCGUUAAUCGGAAUUACUGGGCGUAAAGCGCUCGGAGGCGGUAUGUCAAGUCAAGGGGGAAAUCCCCGCGCUCAACGUGGGAACUGCCUUUGAAACUGGCAUACUGGCGUGUGUGAUAGGUUAGUGGACUUCCAGGUGU